Molecule: long non-coding RNA, 1008 nt
Filed under: Macaca fascicularis (crab-eating macaque)
Lineage: Eukaryota; Metazoa; Chordata; Mammalia; Primates; Cercopithecidae
Description: lncRNA (ENSMFAG00000055904.1)
Source: RNAcentral
AUGAAGCCCAAGUCCCGAAACCCUAGCUUGCCUCCUGGACUGGCUGGAGAAGAAGGUGGGGGUCGCUCAUCAUUCUUUUCCUCUGCCCUGAGAAGAAACAUGGGAAGGCUGAAUUUUCGCGUGAGGGCCCCGCUAGCCAGGCCAGCCCUGCGCCUAAGUCCCUGCCAGCUCCCGGGCCGGUGGGCACCUGUCCGGCUGAGUGGGGUCGCUCUAGGGGGCGGCAGCGGAGUUUCAGGGCGCGGGGGGGGCACUGGGCGGAACCCGGCAAUUCUGGUCGGUGGGAGAGGAGGGUGGAGACCGGACUCCGGGCCUGGGGGUGCACGAGGGCGUCCCGCUCCCCGGAACCACCAGUCCUGCGCGCCGCCUCUCAGUGCUGUCGCCGUGACAACCGGCGCCGCGGAGGGGCGGGCGCCGGGACUGCGCUCCCAGGCCCCAGGUCCCGCGGCGCUGGCGGGCCGAGGGGCGCGGGGCGGGGCGUCUGGAUCGGGGCGGUGCCGCGGGCGGGAGGGGGCGCGGAGGAGCCGGCGAGGCCCCGGCAGUGGUGGCAGAGGCUGGGCGGGCGGGCCCGGGAACGGCGCAGCAUCUGCGGGCGGCGGGGUAGGCGCGGGCGCGGGCGGGACUGGCUGGGUGCGCGGCUGGCCUGCGGAGGGGGGCAGCGGGCCUGGCGACCCUGGCACCUGGGCCGGGGGCCAAUGCGGCAGGGUGAGGCCUGGGGCCGGCGGGGUGAAGGGGACCCGGCCCUGCGUGGGAAGCCUCGGGGGACAAGCAGACGCAGCCUGCUGGGAGCGGCCCAAGCUCCACCGGCCCGCGGCAGGAGGCAGCAGUCCUCCCGCCCUCCCGGGGCCCGAGGGCUGGUUCUGGGGCGGGGAUCCUUGCGGGGCGCGGGCAGUGAAGAGCCUGGAGGCCCCAGAGUCUGUGCCAGGUCUGAGCUGCGGGGCGUGGGGGAGGAGGGGCCUCGGCCGGGGCCCAGGAGACCCAGGACAGGUGGGCCUGGGGCCAGGUCCCUAG